Molecule: long non-coding RNA, 2574 nt
Filed under: Marmota monax (woodchuck)
Lineage: Eukaryota; Metazoa; Chordata; Mammalia; Rodentia; Sciuridae
Source: RNAcentral
GCCAGCGGAGGCCGGCCGAGGGACGCGUCCCCGCCACGUCUCUCCGGGCACCUGUGGGGCGAGACCCCGCGCCACCUGUGCACACACCCGCUUCCCCGUGCCCUGCGUGGUGUCCAGCGGUCCCGGACCUGGGCCUUGAACAGCCUCUGGCGGUUAGAGUUUAUUUUGGAAACGUUCGAUUUUUUCUUUCUUUCUGUGUGUUAAUAAUCGUUUUACUACGGCCGUGCAACAGUUGUGUAAAUCUGGUCGAAUUACGCCAUCGUCAUUACUGGCUCCUGAGAAGGCCCUUUCCAGCUCCUUCGGUUUUCUGACGCGAUGAUUGUUGGUAGCGCAUGGGAGAAAUGCAUUAGGCGAUAUUGGUUCUCAAGGCGCUGAAAUGUUUUGCGCCCCAAAAUGGAAGCAUCCGUUCCACUUAUUUAUUUAUUUAUUUAGUUUACUGCAGCAGUAUACUACGGGGGAGGGGAAACGGGGUAUGAAGAAAGCCCGUAGCAAACUCCUCCUCAGUAGAGAAUUUUACAAUUUCGAGUGUUUCUGUCCAUUCUUUUUAGAAAAUGCAUGAAUUUAUAUUUGCGUUACAUCGUGGGGUAUUUACUUUCUGAUUUUUUUUCACUUAAUACAUAGAGGACUUUUCUCUGUAUAAUUGUAACUAUAGCAUCGAUGGCUAGAAAGAAACUCGCUAAAGAUUUGAUGACGUAUCACUGCAGUGGCCAGUUUAUUGGCUAGAAAUAAGCAGAAUUCAGGGUAGCAACCGGUAUCCAAAAGAUAUUAUUUAUUCCUGUUAAUAACUUGAGGCAGUGUUUUUCAGACUGCAGUUUUCAACCCAUUGGCGAAUUGUAAAAUUAAUUUAGUGGUUCGUGAGUAGGAUUUUAAAAAUUCAUUUAAAAGAUGAAAUAAAAUGGCAUAGAAAAUACCAGACUACAUUACUUGUUCUGAAGGGUAUUGUUUUGUGAAACCUUGUUUUAACUGCGCAUGUGUGCCUGUGAGUGUGUGCUGGGUUGUAAUAUAAAAUGUAUUGCUUUCUAUGGUGUCAUGAUAAAUAAAUUUAAAGUCACUGAUCCAAAGUACUGUCAGCAUCCAAACUGGGUGCAAUGAUGCAGUUAAACUAAAAGUUAAUUUUAUUCAUCUUCACUCUCUCUUGGGGAGGCAGGGAAUACUUACAUUGUUUAUUGCAGUAUAUUAGGUUCUUUUCCCCUAAUAUUACAAUAAUUAGCAUUUCCAAAAAUACAGAAAGGUUUUUAUAGAAGUUAAAAGAUCAAAACAUUAACUGAACAUAUUCCCUAGUUAUUGGUGUGAGACUUGGAAAAAGAUCGCUUCUUUCUAAACUUAAGUUCCCUAAUUUGUUGAAUGGGAGUGACUUGAUUCCUACCUUUUAAAGCUGUUUGUUAUUUAGAUGAAACAAUGCAUAUAAAGCUAUUGACGGGGUGGCCUGGCUCAGAUUAAGUAUUCACUACGUGUUAUUAUUUUAUUAAGAUCCAGUGGUAGUGUCUAGAAUAAUUCUUGUUGUCAGAGAAAAGGCGGCAUAGUGUGGAUAAUCAAAAAAAAAAAAAGUUGAAAAUUAGUUAUUUGUGUUGUGUGACUGGGAAUUAAGAUGAUCUUUUUAUAUAUUAUUUGGACACUAUUUGGUGAUUGCUUACUAAUUGUUAUCCCAUUGAUAGAUAAUUUAGAUUGUCUUAUUUUAAAAAAAAAGAUUUCCUUCUAUUGUCUUUUCUUACUUUCUGUUAAGUUGUUGUCUCUUUUGUCAGGCAGUUGAAAAAAUUUCCUCUGAGGAUUUUGGAUUUUGUUAGCUCUUAUACAAAGCUGCAGUCAGUUUGGAAACCCACACAACUACAAAAUCAUUUCAACAAUAUUUUUAUUGAUAUUUAUCUCUGCACCCGGUGUAGAUUUCAUAUAUACAAGAAAUGUUUCUUAAAAACAAAGAAACAAACAGCUCACACCGUUCAGAUAUUUGUUGUUGACUGCUCCAGGUGGGUUUAUUCAGUUUUAAAUGUUGCAAAAACCAAUGAAAUAAGAUGAUUGUUGUCACUUUAAAAAUAUCAUUAAAAUUAUUAAAAAUAAAUAGAAUGCUUUGGAAUCGGAAAAAAAGAUUUUGUUACUAGGUGGAAUGAUUGUAAAAGGUGGUGAAAAAAUCCUAAACAUUAAUCGUAAUUCUCUUGGAUUGGAAAUGUCUUUAGAUUGUAAGCACAUGAUUUGGAACUAAUUAAUUUGUCCCAGAAAAACAAAAAUGAAAACCCCAAACAACAAUGAAGCAAAAAAGCCCAACUAACUGAAACUUACAUGCGUUAAUGUAAGUUAAAAUAUUAAGGUUAUGUGGGGAUAUAUUUUUAAAAUUAUUGACUCACCAACUGCUGUUUUUUUUUUUUUUGUCAGAUAAGACGGGUUUUUAUCUUACACUUAUAAAUGAAAUACUAUGUAAUCAUUAAACAUUCUGUUUGGAAAUAUAUAUAUAUAUAUUAUAUAAAUAUAUAUAUAUAUAUAUAUAUAUAUAUAUUUAAUGGCAUGUAAAGUUCUCAUGAUUAAUUGAAGGGGUAGUAAUAGGAUGGAAUGUUCAAUAUAUUCCAUUUUUGUAAAAAUAUG